This 197-nucleotide ribosomal RNA is filed under the name uncultured bacterium. RNAcentral's name for it is "partial 16S ribosomal RNA". It matches the Rfam family "Bacterial small subunit ribosomal RNA", at positions 328 to 539 of the family's 1533-position model. The record is from RNAcentral.
ACGCUCGACACCUACGGAGGCAGCAGUGGGGAAUAUUGCACAAUGGGGGAAACCCUGAUGCAGCGACGCCGCGUGAGUGAAGAAGUAUUUCGGUAUGUAAAGCUCUAUCAGCAGGGAAGAGAAUGACGGUACCUGACUAAGAAGCCCCGGCUAACUACGUGCCCGCAGCCGCGGUAAUCUGAGCGGGCUGGCAAGGC